GCGGCGCGGGACGGCGGCAGCGCCCGCCCGGCCCGGCCGUGAGGCCCCGGCGGGGUCGGGAGAAUCCCCGAGCCCGCUCAGCCCCCUCCGUGCCCGCCGGUGGCACCGGGCGGGUCGGCCCCGCACGGCCCCCGCGGGCCCCGCUCCCCGCGCUGCGGGCCCGUAGGCCGCGGCCUGGUGGGGCCCGGCCGCGCUCGCCCCUCCCCGGGCCCCAGCGAGCGGCGGUGGGAGGGCGGCGGGCUCGGCCCGCAGCGCAUCGUUCAAAAGAAACCCAGCGUCGAGAGACAACGAAAUGGAGGAAAAAUGGCCGAGCCCCGGCCGGUGGAGGACGGCGGGCCCCGCCGAGCUGCCCUGAUCCGCAGCGAACCCAGAGGCAUCGCUGCCAAACGCAUCCCUGCUCUGGGGGAAAGCAAGAUGGGGCCGGAGGAUGGCUGCGUUCCCUGCAGUGCCCCUCCAUCUUACAGAUUACAGGGCUUCCCCUCGUAGUAAAGAAAUUUAAAUUUGCAUAGCGCCGAUGGGUGAAACAUUUAAGCUCCAGUUGUCGGUUCUCCCCUCACUCCGUGUUAGCUGUCCACCAUCGGCAGGCUCCCUGCAGAAAUCCAGGGUGCGGUGGUUGUGUGUGGAACCUGCUUGGUGCAGAGUGGGAAUUUCACCAAACCAAAGCCCAUACACAAAAAUAAAGCCUGGUCUGUCCUAUUAAAAAAAAAAAAAAAAAAAAAAAAAGGCACGUACAGGAUUAGUAAGAGCAGAUGCAACUUGAAAACCAAGAGCUAAAUUGAUUUAUAGCCAUGGUUACUCGAAAUGCUCAGAGUUUAAUCUAUUCAUAGAAAUGCUCUAGAAAUCCCACAGGAUUCCAAUGGAAUAAAAAGGAGCAGUGCUCUUAGGCAGGCAUUAUUUAUACACCUUGCUCCUAAAGCAACAGCUUUCCCGUGCAGUUGGAAGAGUUGUGGGUGGUAGCACACAAUGGUAAAAAGAUAAAAUAUUGAACAGCUUUCUUAAAUUAGCAUUUUCCUUACAUUUUACCUUUUAAACUGAUUAUUUUGUUUUACCUCAGAGGCCUAAGUAACCUUGUGGUUAAUGCUUUAUGAGCUAGAUGACAGAUCCUACCCAACAUGGGCUCAGAAUUUUCCCAUAGAAAAUACUCUUAACAGAGACAGUGAUUCAAAGAAAUUUCAUUUUUUUAAUCCUUUCAGUGAACUCACGAGAUGCUUCACCAUUUCACAGCCACAGAACUGAGUGAGAAGGACACUGAGGAUUUCUGGAGCCCAAGAGUUUCUGUGGGAGACAUCAGCACCUGCAGAGCCCCAGGUUACCAAUUUUGGGAGCAUUUGCUGUAAGAGCAGGAAUCUGGUUCACUGUAUGUGAUGAGAUGAAUAAAUCCCUAAGAGCAGCUAAGAAAAAUCCUUUUUAUAUAUUUGUGUAAAACCCACUAGCAUGAAAAAGCACUUAACCAAUAUAAGACAAUAUAUAACAAUAUAGUAGUAGUAAUAAUAAUAAAAAUAAUAGUUGUAGUAGGAUAUAGAAGUAUAUAAAAAUAUAAGAAAUAUAUAGAGCCCAAAAGAGGUUACAAAGAUGUUGAAGGGUCUGUGCAGGGCCAGAAUUGGACUGGAUGAUCCCUUCCAACUCAGGAUAUUCCAUAAUUCUGUGAACCAACCUCUUUAGGGUGCUGCUUGUAAGUUCUACAGCUUUGGGCUAGUCCUGAACCUUGAGCAACUUUGAAAAGGAAGUUGUUAAUAAAAAGCACCAGGAAGUCUGAUAAGGGAACGAGCAGAACUCAUCCAGGUCACUGAAGGUGGGGUUUUUAGAGGGCAUCACUUCAAUGCUUUCCCAGCCUGGAACGUUCACAGCUCACAGCAGUUAGUGACUAUUUCUGUGGCUGGAGGUUAAGGACCACAAAAGCACCUGCAGCAGUUUGAAGGGGCUGUGGGGCAAAGAUAGCCAAGAAUGUCAAAAAACACAGAACCAAGUUCCACAGGCAGAGACAGCUUCUAAGACAUGACGUGAGCACACUAAAGUACAUUUUAGGGUGACAUGGUGUGCUCAGAAAGCAGGGUAUGAAUGGGCUGGUGUUCACAUCCUCAGUCAUGACUCAAGAGCAGUUGCAGUUUGACUUGUUUUCCCCUUCAAUGUAUUCUUUGUUUUCUUAAGCUCUGUUUGGCUUUCGUUGUGCCCUCCCUUUUUUUCUUUGUUGAGCAUCCUUAUAAAAAAGCAGGUUCAAAGUAAAUAUAGAAGUGAUUGUUUAAAAUAGCUCAGCAGUGACCACCAGAGAAGCUGCAGGGUGUUUCAGCUUCUGCAGGGACCCUGCUCUUCCUGUGUCUGCAGUGACCUCCCCACAUUCCCAGUGUAUGGGGUUCUACUGCUGGUAGGGCACAUCAUUCCCUUUACUUCCUCCUGAAUGUGCUUUUCUUGAUAGCCCACCAUUCCCAAUAUUUAUUAUUUUAUGGCUUGGUUUUAUCAAUAUCUCACCCUUUUUUUGUUGGUUUUUUUUUUCUCUUCCCCACCAUUUAUAGCUGACACUUUGGAUGUCAAUGAUGUGACAAAGAGCAGCCAGCAGUGGAUGUGGUGGUUUAGCUGGAGAAAAAUCCAGGAUUCAGUCAAGAAAGAAAGGAAACAAUUCCUAAUGGAGAAUUAUGUUCCCUUUUGCCUCUCCUGUGGGAUCCAGGUUAGAGCUGCUCCUUUCCAGGACUGCUGCUUCCCUCCAGAUGUGUGACUACGUGUGCAGGCUGUAUUUGCAUGUGGAGAUGAAUGAGGCUGAUAAUAGCAGCACUUAGCAGGAAGCGCCGCGUGAUGUAACAUUUCCUUGAUCUAACCUGCUGUUCGUCUUGUGCUCCCUUCCCUGAGCUGCCCAGGGUGAUCCUCAGCAGCAUCCAGCAAGACAAAACACGCCUGGGUACACAGGGACAGCAGCACAGGCACGGGGGUUUGCUUGGAGCAAAAUCAGCUGCUGGAGAAGCUCAGAGAACAGAGCUUUUUCACACCUUGUUCUCUCUUCCUUGAAGAUUUCAGUUCUUCAGUGCCAUUAUCCCCACCCCUCCUCUCGGAGGGUAGAGCUUUGUGGACAGUGCUGUGAGCACGGGUAUCUCCAAACACUUGGAGGGAUAUUAAGAGAACAAAUCAGGUGCUGACACACAGGCAGCACUUCCCAGAGAGAUACCAUGUAGCUCGUCAGCAAAGCUGCCCUGAGUUCUGGCUGAUGACACAGCCCUGGCCAGACCAGAGUUGGUGCCACAGCAAAACCAAACCCCAAAUUCCAAACAGCCACGUGGGACAGCUGCUGCCACCUCUGCCUUUCCCCCCACCCUGAUCUUCCCAUUGCCUGCAGCUCCCAAAUUCCCAGCUCAGCUCUGAGCAGGGACCAGCUGCCAUCAGAUGCAGUUUUUGAUUUGCACUUGCAGUUUUAUUGCCAUUUCUUGCCAGUUCUCAGCCCUGCAGCUCAGUGCAGCCAGGGUGAUGGAUGUCCCUGCUGGGCCAUGCAUCCAGCUGCUUCUCCUGCAACCAAGAGCAGAUGAAGGGAAAUGCUGAUGUCCACAGAACUCUGGAGGGAGGCACAGAAGUGCCAGAGCUUUUGCACCCAUUAUCAACCCUUGAACGACCCUUGCUCUCAAUUUCCACAGGCCUUGGACACAACAAGGGCAUUUCCUUCCUCAGCCAGCAAAGCUCCAGGAUCUACCUGAUGAAGCCAUGGCUCUGCAGCGAUUUUUGGGACAGAGCUGCACACUGGGAGACACCAACCCUGCCCAACAAAGCACCAGGAAAUCGCCAACCAGGCGCUUUUUGCCUUUAGAUUUCACAUUUUUAGGAAAAGGAGGGGGGAACCCAGCCUGGCUCCUGCUAAGCAGCAGCAGCACACAAAGCAAUCGUUAUGCCAAGAUUUAGCUGUUAAAUCCCUCAAGAUCUGGUGCUCACAGAGCAUAAACAACCUUUGCCUCCCAGCCUGGCCGAGCUGCACCUCCAGGAUUCCCAGCACAGCCACACAGACCCUCCCAUACCCAUCCUCUCCCCAGCCCUUCGCUGAGGCUGCCGUGCCAACAAGAAAGCCAGUUGCCAUGGCAUUUUUUCCCCCUACAGACAGAUGUCCAUUAAAAACCAAGUCAGCCUCAGGUUUGCUUCACAGAGCAGCUUUCAGUUAUUAUUACCAGCCUGCAAGGAAUUUCCACUGUAGCCCUUCACCUCAGAUGUUUCAAUGCACUUCAGGAUUAAUCCCUGGGGAUUAGAAGGAAACUACUACAGAGCAGGCACAGGUAUGUUCAGAGGACAAAUUUAGGAUUAUGAUUGUGGUUUAUGUUUUUGACAGAUGACAACCACAUGACUGUGUUUGGAAAGGGUUGAAUUUGUUACCUCUGGUGCUCUUUCCCCUGUUCACUGUGCUAAAAUCAUCAGGCAAAUUGGAAGUGAGAGGUGAAAGGUUCCCCUCCUCAGGGAUGUCCUCACCUGGGGCUCAGAUCUGGGAUUUUGGCUUCAGGAGGAACCUGCCUGUCCUGGACAGGGGCAUUGUCUGAGGCUCCAUCCAUGGAGAAGGGAAAGCCCAGGCAGCUUCUGUGAGCAGGGCCAAGCACUUCCAGCAACCACAUGGCUCAAGGAGCAAUGUCUUCUUCCUUGACCACAUUUUUAUUGAAGAAUGGAAAAAGGAAUGAAUGGAUGCCAUAGUCCCCCUCAGCCCAUCCUGGGGACCAAGGGCCUGUUGGAAGUGUCCCUUGGGAAAAGCAGAGGAGCUUUCUACUGCAGUGUUGGCAGCACAUCCUGAGCAUCUCUGCAGGGAUGGGUUUGAAGGGAACAGUCAGGUAUUUUUAUUUGGACUCCAACAGUGCUGAAUGUGUGAGAAUUAGACACUGAAAUUUAACUGUACAGUGGAAUUAGUUUUCCUUACUUAGCACUGCAGUGCUAGAAAUCCUUAGUGAUGUCCAGUGAUCUCCUCUCUCACAUCUGGCUCUGAACUUGGCAGGGCUCCCACAGCAAUCCUUGUUUAAGCUGUGGCACUGGGGAAACCUCGGCCUUCUGAGAUUUUGGAGUCACCAGUGCAGCUCAGAGCCCUGCAUCCAGGCUCACAGGGGGGUUUCCACUGGAGGCUGGAUCUUUGAAGGAGCCAAGUGCCACAACUGCAGCUGCAGGAGUGACAGCUCCUGUGGCUCUGGGAAGCAGCAGGGUCUGAGCACGCCCUGGCUGCAGGUCCCAAGGGAGCACUCCCUUCCAGGCUCUCAGUCACUUUUCAAGGCGACACAUUUGGAUUUCUUCUCUCAGUUACAGCAAGAACAGCUGCAAAUAUGAUCAAAAAUAUCUAAUCCUCUUAACUGCUUCUGCAGUUUGACUCGAUCACUGCAGAGGAAAGUGCUGUGAUUGCAGAGUGCUGCCUGCAUUCCCACGUAAGCCUCGGCUUUUACACCAUUGAUCGUUCCUCCACAUUGAUUUUUUGGAAGGAGGAGAAGGUGUUUGGCUCCUUGUGAUGAAACUGAGGGGGUUUUUCAGGAAGGCUUGGAGGCCUGGAGCUCCCAGAUCCCAGGGCAGCACCUGGCUCUUGAUGCUCCUUCACUGAACAAGUGGAAUCCAGCUGGGAUUUGUUCUUCACCAGAAACCAGAGCACAUUUGAAAGCUGCCAAGGAGAAUUGCUUGGGAAAAGACCUCUUUGCUCCUUGUGCAAGCCCUGCACUUGCCAGAGGGAAACUCUUGGCACAGCUGUGCUUGGACAAGACCAUCCAGCUUCCCCUCCAGCUGCAGCAGCAUCCCUGUGUCCUGUGGAUUACUCCAGCUCACCCAUCUUGCUUGGCCACAUCUCCCACUCAGCUCCUCCAGCUCUCACAACUGCACUCCACACAGACCGUGGAUUCCAGCCAACAGCACCAGCAGUUUCUCCAGCCUCAGUUAAUUCUGCUUGGGCUAAGAUUCCCAGUAGUGCAGAGGAAUUGUUCUGGGAGAUCCAGUCCUGGUGUAGAUGCUAAAAGGAUUUAUUGUGGGUUUGGUUAAUUUUACAGAACUCUGACACACAGAUCAUGAAGAUGCUCAGUCCUACCUGUCCCAGGGACAGCUAUUCUCACCCACUGCCCUCAGGCCCACAAACCCAGAGAACCUCUCCAACCACCAAACCAGCAAAUUACUGAAUGUGCAAAGACCGAAAUCUCAGUUUCCUGGUGAGCUCAGAGCUCAGCUCCCAGCAGCAGCAGCAGCAGCAGCAAAGCUUUCCAUGGCUUCCCAGCCUCAGCACAGCUCAGGAAACCCUCCCCAAAGAGCCCCCAGCUCCAGCUCCAGCUCAGCAGCAACCCCCCAGUGCAGCAGCUUUGGAGGAGCUCUUGGCCCUGAAGAAGGUUCAACAGGGCCCAAUUUCCUGGUGGGGAAGUAAACAGGAGUUUACUCCAGUUUCCUGGAGGUGUUUGAUGUUUGUAACCAGCUUGGGAUGGAAGGAGUUUGACUCUCCAGCUCCCUGGGAGAAGGUGGAAGGAAACCACGCGAGUGUGUUGAGCUGCCCAGAGAUAACUGCCCAGCCUUAUCUGCUCCUAUCAGCUCAGCUGGGCCCAACUUCCCCAGCCCAAAGAAGGCCAAGAGUUCAUUUGGACAGCUUUGCCUUUGAAUUAAAAACUAUCAGACUUCCAAAAUAACCUCCUCCCUCCCCUCCAGUGGAACAAACACACAGAAAGAACUGCACGCUGGUUUAAUUUUCCAUCACAUUUUUUGAAAAUGAAUUCCAAGAUACAGUACAGCAUCUUUAGUGUUCUACACAAAGCAAGCCUUCAGCAAAAGGUCAGAGGAUCUUAAUGGUGUAAAAAUAUAUCUUAAAUAAAAUAGUUUCUCUAGGAGAGCAAGCCGUGCUGUACAUCUCGAGGUCCUUAGAGUCAUUUACAGAAGGCAGAGGCCUGGUAGUUCAACCCACACACUGGAAAAGUGAGUGUACAUUCCUGCUACAAAGUCAGAAAAGGUCCAAGUUCCAGGUGGUGGGGGCAGAUCUGCAAACCCAAGCAGGGGAUGCCCAGAGUGCACUACCAGCCCUGUAAUUCCAAUGAGGAAGUUCAACUCUCUCUGUCCAUGCAGCCAGGAAGUGGAUGAGAACCACCCUCCUUCCCAGGGUCAUUCCAGGGACUGGGACUUGUCCCUUUCAAUGGGCCAAAAAAAGAACAACUUCUAGCAAUAAAGAACUGGCUGUUUGAUGCCUGUGUUCCAGGCUGGACCUGCUCAGCCAGAGCUGUUUCAGUGUUCCAAACUAAGGUCAUGAUUGUUCCUACAAGGACCAGGAUCACCCUGUGGCCUGCAAAGACAAUGGGGGACUCCCCUGCCAUUUUUAACAAAAGAUCAGCCUUUAAAUGCUCUGAUUCUGAGCACAACAGCAACCAGGACAGUCGCU
This is a long non-coding RNA of Passer domesticus (house sparrow), 7327 nucleotides long. RefSeq lists it as uncharacterized. The transcript has 2 exons. Lineage: Eukaryota; Metazoa; Chordata; Aves; Passeriformes; Passeridae. The record is from RefSeq and is a predicted model, not a curated record.